AGAGUUUGAUCCUGGCUCAGAUUGAACGCUGGCGGCAUGCCUUACACAUGCAAGUCGAACGGCAGCACGGGGGCAACCCUGGUGGCGAGUGGCGAACGGGUGAGUAAUACAUCGGAACGUGUCCUGUAGUGGGGGAUAGCCCGGCGAAAGCCGGAUUAAUACCGCAUACGCUCUACGGAGGAAAGGGGGGGAUCUUAGGACCUCCCGCUACAGGGGCGGCCGAUGGCAGAUUAGCUAGUUGGUGGGGUAAAGGCCUACCAAGGCGACGAUCUGUAGCUGGUCUGAGAGGACGACCAGCCACACGGGACUGAGACACGGCCCAGACUCCUACGGGAGGCAGCAGUGGGGAAUUUUGGACAAUGGGCGAAAGCCUGAUCCAGCAAUGCCGCGUGUGUGAAGAAGGCCUUCGGGUUGUAAAGCACUUUUGUCCGGAAAGAAAACCUCCGCCCUAAUAUGGUGGGGGGAUGACGGUACCGGAAGAAUAAGCACCGGCUAACUACGUGCCAGCAGCCGCGGUAAUACGUAGGGUGCAAGCGUUAAUCGGAAUUACUGGGCGUAAAGCGUGCGCAGGCGGUCCGCUAAGACAGAUGUGAAAUCCCCGGGCUUAACCUGGGAACUGCAUUUGUGACUGGCGGGCUAGAGUAUGGCAGAGGGGGGUAGAAUUCCACGUGUAGCAGUGAAAUGCGUAGAGAUGUGGAGGAAUACCGAUGGCGAAGGCAGCCCCCUGGGCCAAUACUGACGCUCAUGCACGAAAGCGUGGGGAGCAAACAGGAUUAGAUACCCUGGUAGUCCACGCCCUAAACGAUGUCAACUAGUUGUUGGGGAUUCAUUUCCUUAGUAACGUAGCUAACGCGUGAAGUUGACCGCCUGGGGAGUACGGUCGCAAGAUUAAAACUCAAAGGAAUUGACGG
This 911-nucleotide ribosomal RNA is filed under the name Bradyrhizobium sp. H2R4_pA. Its description in RNAcentral is "bacterial SSU rRNA". It matches the Rfam family "Bacterial small subunit ribosomal RNA", at positions 8 to 916 of the family's 1533-position model. The record is from RNAcentral. Lineage: Bacteria; Pseudomonadati; Pseudomonadota; Alphaproteobacteria; Hyphomicrobiales; Nitrobacteraceae.